UAAGUUAUCAGGUUUAUUCCAGUUAUGUACGUAAACACUUGGGAAUGUUUCACUUGUCAUGUCAAGCAAACUGAAUCACUUAAAACAAAAGCUGAGUAUUUUAAGUUUAUACAUGCAAUCUAAAGUGCUAGAAGAAACUUAACAGUUGUAAAUGAGGCUGACUAGGAUUAAAGUCUGACCAACCCAAGUUAAAUAAACCAAUAUUAAUCAAAGGACCCUGGGCAACUGUGAGAAUGAUUUGUUAAAAUAGAUGUUUUAAUAAAAAGAAGUAAUAAGUUGUGCAACUAUUAAUAAAUGUAAAGGCUUACUCACUUCCAAGC
RNAcentral lists this long non-coding RNA (320 nucleotides) under Bos taurus (domestic cattle). RNAcentral describes it as "long non-coding RNA NONBTAT012012". The record is from RNAcentral. Lineage: Eukaryota; Metazoa; Chordata; Mammalia; Artiodactyla; Bovidae.